Molecule: small nucleolar RNA, 106 nt
Filed under: Cavia porcellus (domestic guinea pig)
Lineage: Eukaryota; Metazoa; Chordata; Mammalia; Rodentia; Caviidae
Source: RNAcentral
AUGGGGCUCCCACCUGCUCACCCUGAGAAGCACUACAAACUCUGUGGUUUUGUUUUACUCACAGAAAUACUUUUUAGGUCUGUGAGAGAAAGACUACAAAACACUU